Molecule: ribosomal RNA, 381 nt
Filed under: Ototyphlonemertes lactea
Lineage: Eukaryota; Metazoa; Nemertea; Enopla; Monostilifera; Ototyphlonemertidae
Description: partial 16S ribosomal RNA
Rfam family: Bacterial large subunit ribosomal RNA
Source: RNAcentral
GCUUUUUGAAAUUUAAAAGUUUUUUCUGCUCGGUGUUUGUAAACAGCCGCGGUACUUUGACCGUGCAAAGGUAGCAUAAUCAUUUGCCUCGUAAUUGGGGGCUGGAAUGAAAGAAUAAACGAAAGUUUUUCUUUAUUAUAAAAAUAUAAAUAAUUUUCUUUUUUAGUGAAGAAGCUAAAAUAAUAAAGGGGACAAGAAGACCCUUUUGAGCUUUAUUUAGUUUCUUUAUAAGUAAAUUAAAUUUGGUUGGGGCGACCAAGGAAUAUCUUCCUUUAUUAUUUUGAUCCGUUUAUAACGAUUAAAAGAGCAAGUUACCAAAGGGAUAACAGCGUAAUUCUUUCUGAGAGUUCUUAUUAAAUGAAGAGAUUGCGACCUCGAUGU